AUUGAACGCUGGCGGCAGGCCUAACACAUGCAAGUCGAGCGGAUGAAGGGAGCUUGCUCCUGGAUUCAGCGGCGGACGGGUGAGUAAUUCCUAGGAAUCUGCCUGGUAGUGGGGGAUAACGUCCGGAAACGGGCGCUAAUACCGCAUACGUCCUGAGUGAGAAAGUGGGGGAUCUUCGGACCUCACGCUAUCAGAUGAGCCUAGGUCGGAUUAGCUAGUUGGUGAGGUAAAGGCCUACCAAGGCGACGAUCCGUAACUGGUCUGAGAGGAUGAUCAGUCACACUGGAACUGAGACACGGUCCAGACUCCUACGGGAGGCAGCAGUGGGGAAUAUUCGACAAUGGGCGAAAGCCUGACCCAGCCACGCCGCGUGUGUGAAGAAGGUCUUCGGAUUGUAAAGCACUUUAAGUUGGGAGGAAGGGCAGUAAGUUAAUCCCUUGCUGUCUUGACGUUACCAACAGAAUAAGCAACGGCUAACUUCGUG
Molecule: ribosomal RNA, 484 nt
Filed under: uncultured bacterium
Lineage: Bacteria
Description: partial 16S ribosomal RNA
Rfam family: Bacterial small subunit ribosomal RNA
Source: RNAcentral